GAUGAAGAACGUAGCGAAAUGCGAUAAGUAAUGUGAAUUGCAGAAUUCAGUGAAUCAUCGAAUCUUUGAACGCACAUUGCGCCCGCCAGUAUUCUGGCGGGCAUGCCUGUUCGAGCGUCAUUUCAACCAUCAAGCCCUGCUUGCGUUGGGGUCCUGCGGCUGCCCGCAGGCCCUGAAAACCAGUGGCGGGCUCGCUAGUCACACCGAGCGCAGUAAUACAUCUCGCUUUGGGCGUGCGGCGGGUUCUUGCCGUUAAACACCCCCUUUUUACCAAGGUUGACCUCGGAUCAGGUAGGAAUACCCGCUGAACUUAAGCAUACAAUAAGGGAGGA
RNAcentral lists this unclassified non-coding RNA (332 nucleotides) under soil metagenome. Its description in RNAcentral is "partial contains 5.8S ribosomal RNA, internal transcribed spacer 2, and large subunit ribosomal RNA". The stretch from base 1 to 120 matches the Rfam family "5.8S ribosomal RNA", at positions 35 to 154 of the family's 154-position model. The record is from RNAcentral.